UAGAUAAUGCCCACAAUGGUUCUUAGUUUUAGACGUGUUUUGGUGUGCUUGAAGUUUUGUUCCGAUUGAAACCGUCCAAAACUGAGGCCGAUUGUGAGGUAAAAGCGUCCAAA
RNAcentral lists this microRNA precursor (113 nucleotides) under Drosophila virilis. RNAcentral's name for it is "microRNA dvi-mir-957 precursor". Its record names the gene dvi-mir-957. The stretch from base 17 to 92 matches the Rfam family "mir-957 microRNA precursor family". The record is from miRBase by way of RNAcentral. Lineage: Eukaryota; Metazoa; Arthropoda; Insecta; Diptera; Drosophilidae.